UGCUUCGGAAUCUACCCUCUGGUGGGGAAUAACCAGCCGAAAGGUUGGCUAAUACCGCAUACGUCCUACGGGAGAAAGCAGGGGAUCGCAAGACCUUGCGCCGAUGGAUGAGCCGAAGUCGGAUUAGCUAGUUGGUGAGGUAACGGCUCACCAAGGCGACGAUCCGUAGCUGGUCUGAGAGGACGACCAGCCACACUGGGACUGAGACACGGCCCAGACUCCUACGGGAGGCAGCAGUGGGGAAUAUUGGACAAUGGGGGCAACCCUGAUCCAGCGACGCCGCGUGUGUGAAGAAGGCCU
This 300-nucleotide ribosomal RNA is filed under the name uncultured Sinobacteraceae bacterium. RNAcentral's name for it is "bacterial SSU rRNA". It matches the Rfam family "Bacterial small subunit ribosomal RNA", at positions 114 to 417 of the family's 1533-position model. Lineage: Bacteria; Pseudomonadati; Pseudomonadota; Gammaproteobacteria; Nevskiales; Nevskiaceae. The record is from RNAcentral.